Molecule: long non-coding RNA, 7839 nt
Filed under: Lactuca sativa (garden lettuce)
Lineage: Eukaryota; Viridiplantae; Streptophyta; Magnoliopsida; Asterales; Asteraceae
Description: long non-coding RNA (LSAT_LNC001860)
Source: RNAcentral
AAAAACCCUAACUUAACAGAAGGCGUUAACCACUAAAGAGCAUGCAUGGAGGGAUAUGAACAAUCAAGAUUCCAUUUUUAUAACUCAAUGCACUUUAAAACGUCCAAAAGGGCAAACGUAUGGUCUAGAGUAGUCCAUACUCACUUAGAACAAGAAUAUGAGACUAAAAGCACAAAACUUCACAUCUAGCAAGAUCUAAGGAGAUAAUCCACAAGCUCAUAACUUUAUACCUUCUGGAGGUUGCUCAAGGGGUGAAAUACUCAUAUCUCAAAGCUUGGUGCUCCUUCCUUGCUAGGCAGUGGCAUAUUUCCUUCCAUAAUGGACACCAAAUCACCAAAAUGAGCUCAAACCACCAUAAAUGGAAAUUAGGGUUUGUAAGGUAUGAAGUGGACAAUGGAGGCUCAUGAGGGGAAGUGGUAUUGGGAGUUAAUGAUGCUUAAAUAGUUUCCAAAAAAUAAAAGUUAGGGUUUGAGUCUCGACCAUGUACGCCUAACUUACACAAGUGUAUGCCUAACGUACACAACAGGGGCGCGUUUCUCACUUAAGGCUCCUUGGGACAAAUUUUGCAAACACCUUCAUAUUAAAGGUUAAAAAAGUAAAUUACCAAGGCCUUCAUUUGACCCAUUAAUCAUAUACAAUCCUGAAAUAAGAACUUCUUGAAAUAGGAUGUCACAUCCACACCUAUCCGUAAUUUCCUCAAGAAUCAUCCCAAAUCCUUUAAGUCACCUCCCUAUAAUGAUACUCCCAAAACUCGCUAAACAAUUCACCAUUCAUACUAAAGCACUUCCUAGGUUCUCCUAAAGUCCCCACCUUACCCUUGCUGAAAAACUUCUACAAAUGUCAGCUAACUACUUCAUGAAUACAAUUACCUGCAACAAAACUUAAAUAAUCUUUCGACUAAAAGACCUAACCCUACAAUGGUUGGAAUCAGACAAGAGCUGCACAAUAGGGCCAAAUCAAUCACUCUAAAAUUAUUUAACCUUUUGCAGCAUGUAACUUAAUGUAUUCACUUAAUUUUUAACUCAUAUCAAUAUGAGCCCUACAAAGCAUAAAGUAAGCAACAUUCGAUCAAAAACUCUAUAGGCAACAAAACAUCAAAAGACAUCUUUCCUAGUAGGCAUUCUAGCAUGCAACACUGAUACAUCCUUAUUCUAACUUCUAACAAGCAAAACAUUCUAUAACACAUAUAACAUAUUAAUAUUAAUAUAUAUAUAUAUANNNNNNNNNNNNNNNNNNNNNNNNNNNNNNNNNNNNUGAGUAUUCUAGGAAUCGCUUACUUGAGCUUGGCUGAUUGCACACAUCACAUCCCUUUCUUUGUAAAAAUCCUUUUAGAAUAUUUUUUUUUCUUUCAAAAUGAUUAUCAAUUCCUCAGUUUGAGUUCAGACACACCUGAGAGUGUGCUCAAAUCCCUCAAACUAAGGCUCUAAUACCAAUUGGUAACGUCCCAAAAAUACCAAUAAAACUUUCAAUCUUUUUAACCAACAAAUUCGUGCAAACAUUUGUUCCAAAUCCAACCAGAGUAACAUGUAUCUUUCAAACAUCAGAGUAAAACAAUAAUAAUCGGUGCGGAAAAAUCCAUCAAGGGAUGUUGUGCAGUCAAGUUGGGCUAUUCCUUUUGGAACUAGAAGUACUGGAAGACAUUUUAAACAUAAACCGUAAGAAUAAAACAUAAUGAGUUCCCCAAAAUACCACAUACCAUACAUAGGAUAUGAAAUGCUAUGAGAUGAACCAUAGUCUUAUUGUCACUAUCAAGCAUGAGCCAAAUCAUGGUAUUUCCUUGUAACUCCAGGAUCCAAACCCUAGUCUUACGUACAAGUGUCAAGAGCAACAUCUUGGUCUUCUAUGUAAGCAUCACAAAUACAACUAGCAUCCUAUGUAUAACUACAAGGAGACAGACCCCUGGUAUUUCAUAUAUAUGCCAACGGCCACACCAUAGUCUUUAAUACAUAUGUCAAUGGCCACACCCUGGUCUUCCAUGCAAGUAUCACAAAGACAACUAGCGUCAUACAUAACAUAGUGAGAAAACUCACCUUAUCGACGUAGUCAACAACUAACAUCUCUUAUAACCAACGAACAUAUGAUAUAUACCUCCUAAUAAACCACACAAGGUAAACCCUGAGUCUACCUUCUAAGACUAGAAAUUUGAAGAAAAGUCAACCCAUGUCAAAAGUCAACGGUCAAGGUCAAAGUCAACAUUUAACAUCACCAUCAGCUGAUACCCACGUUGUGACCAACCCAUGUCCACGUCGUAGCUAACGAAAUCAGUCUUGAUUCAAAACUUCCGGUUAUAAACAAUCAACCACGAGCAAAACCAUUGUGACGUCGUUAUGGUCAUGCCACCACAUCAUGAUAGAAUCCGUCCAAUACAAUCAAUGAGCCUCAUCAUCACGUCGUGACCUCCAUACGGUCAUGUCGUGACUACUGCAUUUGGGGAAACUUAAUGCAUUUAGAUCUUAAUCCUUUAAGCCGCCCAUUCCGACUUUCUAGAGGGACUUAUUACUCCAAAAACAGUCUAAAAAUCGAUGUUUUAUAGACAUGCAUGUCUUGAGCUCACGUUAUGUCAAAAUGAUGAAAAAUGGAACCACAAUCACAUGCAUGGAUUCAAAACUUAGCCAAACUUCUGAUCCAACAUAUAUAACCCUCAAGGGACCUCAAUGACCUAUAAAGUUUCCAACUUUAGGGAAUCCUUCCAUUCAAAUUUCCACAACAUGAAGAAUAAGGGACAAGCAACCUAGAUCUAGAAGCACACAACAUAAAGCUUGGAUCUUGAACACUUACAAUGGUCCAUAAAUGGUUCAAAUGAAAUCUCUAAGCUUGCCAAGAGGUUCUUUAUACCACAAAGGCCUUCUUCUUCCUUCCAAAUGCACCAAACACCAAAGGUAAGCUCAAAAACGGAGAAGAGGGUAUUAAGGUAUCCUUCAGGGUUCUUGAGGGUGACGGAGGUUGGAAAUGAUGCCCUAAUAUGAGGUUAGGGGUUCAAAUAUGGGAGAAACCCUAAAAGAUCAUGUGCUUUGCCUGCAGAUAUCGUCACAUUGUGACCAUACUCUUGUCAUGUCAUGACAACCAUCCGAAAACACAUUCUCAUAUUUGCUAUGUCUUCUUGUCACGUCGUGACAUAUAGUUUUUCCUCAAAAACCAUAUAGUUGACUUCCUUAUGCAAUACACUGAUUCAUUCUGCGAGAUGGGUGUUACAUAAAACAUACCGAACUAAAUUCAUCAAUUCAUGCAAGGAGUCUGAAAUAUCAGAUUUCCCAUUUUAUCCUUUAGUUAUAAAGCACAAUUCAAGGCUUAUAUUACUUAUUCCUUUGAAGAUUAAUACCAUUGACUGAUCGAAUUACGAUCCAAAAGUCAGAAAUAAGAAACAUCCCAAAAUUGGGUGUUACAAUGUGCAGAUGGCGACUACAUAUCUACAUCGUUAUCUUCGUCUCUCUCGUCCUCUCUUUUUGUAACUCCGACAACUCCACGUUGGAGAAGAUGAACCCAUGAAAGUGUGGGUUAGAGACUUAGAGUAAGAGAUCAAGGGUUUGUGGUAGUGGCCCUUAUUUUAUUUAUUAAUAAUAUAAACAAAUUAAAAAUAAAUAAAAAUAAAAUAUAUAAGGGUAAAUUUGUAUGUUUAGGCCUGAUUAAUGAAACCAGGGAUGAAACGUGCAACUUUUAAACAUAUCAGAGAUGGUCAUAAUUAAUUUUUGAAAGUAAAGACUAAACAAGCCUUUUUGCAUACGUACUAGGGGUGAUUUGUGUAAUUACUCCUGUGAUUAUAUGUGUUGUGAUGUAAAGUUCUAACCCAAAAGUUUUAAAUUUACUUUUGAACACUUUUGGUUUUUAUUAAACCAUAUUUUGAGAUGAUAACUAAAUAUUUUAAGUUUCACAACAAUUAUUGUUUGUAAAUGUUAAAGAUUUGGGGCGUUAAAUAAUGACAUGUCACAUUAUAUCAUCUACAUAAGUUAUUUCAAACCAAAUUGCAAAGCCAAGUAUUAACUAUUUGAAAGCCACACAGGAUAAACUUAUUUCAAGUGUUCAAAUGUGAUUGGUAUUAUACUGAUGUUGAUGAUCUUAACCAAAAAUCCUAUUCGAUGCCACUACAGCAUGCCAGAUUCCACGUCAAAAGAUAAGAUUCCAACAAGAUAUUGUAUGUUUGACCUGAUAAGUUAUUUAUUACAAAGCUUUAAAGAUAUUAAACAUUAACUAAUAUAUAAUUAAGCUCGACAUAAAACCAUUAAUAAUUGAUAGAAGUUAAGGCUUUUUAUCCAUAUCUAAUCAAAGCUAAUUUUUAGACAAAAUUGCAAAAAUGCUCCAUAUGGUUUCUCAUUUUAUGUGGUUAAGGUCCAAACGUUAGCAAAGUUGCAAAUUUGGUCAUUUUCAAGAAGUUUUGCUGUGGAUUUGGUCCCUCUUCCGUUAAGUUAACUGGUUGGCUGUUAACUUCUUUAAAAUGACAAUUUUAAUCUUGGGGAUCAUUUUCACAAUUUUGUCUUUUACUAUACUGUAAUGACAAUUUUUAAAUACAUUAUUUUUUUUAUUGAAGUUAUAUAUAUUAAUAAAUACUAAUUUUAAUAUACAAUAUUAUAUAUUAANUUUUUUAUUGAAUUAUUAUAUAUCAAUACAUAUAGUUUUUAAUAUAUAAUAUUUAUAUCAUAAUAAAAAUUAUAUUAUUGGAUUAUUUUUUUAGUUAAUUUUUGUAAUUCUUUUUUUUUUAAUUAUUUUUUUGGAUUAUUACUUUUAAUUUAUUAUUUUAUUAAUAUACUAAAUAUUAUUUUAUUUUAUUAUUAAUUUAUUUUUAAUGUAUAAUAUUAGUUCGUGUUAAUUUUAUUGGUUCCACCACAAAGUCGUGGGAUACACAAAAUCAUCGUCUCUCAUCAUCGAAAUCACUAGGAUCGCUGCCAAACACCUUCAUUGCAGAUAACUUAUAAUAAGAAACCAUAGGGAAAACAUCACCACUAUCACCGGGUCACCACCACCACUUAUAAUUGUUACAUGAGUUUGUUGAGCAUUAUGUUGGAUAUAAAUGAUUUCAUUGGAUUGUGAAGAUGUUGUCGCAGGUGGCUACCAAUGACGCUGGGUGGAACAUGUUGGUAGGGUUUCUGUCGAAUCUCCGAUGAAGGUGUUUGGCGGUGAUCUCGUCGAUUUUUGAUGAUGAGAAGCGGUGAUUUUGCGUAUUUUGGUGACUUUAUGGUGAAACUAAUAAAAUUAAAAAGAACUAAUAGUAUACAUUAAAAAUAAAAUAAUAUUUAUUAUAUGAAAAAAAUAAUAAAUUAAAAAUAGUAAUUCAAUAAUAAUAAAAAAAACAAAAAAGAAAUUACAAAAAAUUCACUAAAAGAAAUUAACAAUCCAACAAUAUAAUAUUUAUUAUGAUAUAAAUAUUACAUAUUAAAAAUAAUAUUUAUUGAUAUAUAAUAAUCCAAUAAAAAAGAAUUACUCCAAAAAAAAGAAAUUAUAAAAAGAAUCAACAAUAAUCCAAUAAACUAAUGUUUUGUAAUAUAUAAUAAUCCCAUUAUAUAAUACUUAUUAUACUAUAAAUAUUAGAUAUUAAAAACUAUAGGUAUCAAUAUGUAAUAAUUCAAUAAAAAGAAUUACUCUAACAAAAAAAAAAUAAGUAAAAUAAAUUUAUAAUUCAAUAAAAAAAGUAUUUUAUUAACAAAUAAUAUUAUAUAUUAAAAACAAUAUUUAUUAAUAUAUAAUACUUCAUUGAAAUUGAAAAGAAUAUAAAAUGGUAUGGUAAAAGACAAAACUAUAAAAAUGAUCAAUUGUCAUUUUGAUGAAGUUAACGGCCGACUAAUUAAAUUUAACGGAAAAGAAACCAAAAUCACAAUAAAACUUGUUAAAAAAGGGACAAAUAUAUAACUUUUAACAACCAUUUGAACCAUAAUCGCAAUGAAAACCCAUUUUUACAAAUUUAUCUAAUUUUUAUGGUGAUUAAUACAAAAUGUAAUAUCAAUCAUCAACGACUGCGAACGAUCACAACACGUGGGAUUGAAAAGGAGAGAAAUAAUGAGAAGGAGAAAAAUGUCAUUUUACAGGACGAAGACGUAUGAGGGAGGGAGUUUAGGUUAAAGACUGAAAUUAAAUGCAAAAGCAAAACGAUGAGAAAAAACAAAAACGGCCGAAACGAGGGAGCCGAGCCGGAGCCGGAGCCGGCAAAGUGGCAAUCACGUCCGGUGUGUCGGGUUUCGUCUAAAUGGGAUUCCACGUGUCCUUCCUAACCCGUUCCCUUGACGGCCGACUUCUCCGUCAACUUAUCCUCCCCUCUCUCCGUUUUUCUCCGUCAACCGAUAAAUUUAUAUAUCUCUAUCGUAAAAAACGCCGGUCAACUACCCUCUCUCUCUUUCUAAAAACCCUACCUUCCCUUCUCUCUCUACAACAAACUUUCCCUUCCUUUCUCUCUCUCUAAAAAUCUUUUAGAUCGGUGAUAUCGUCCGCCGGCCACACGAUUUGUUAGCUUUCAGGGAAAACACAUGGAAGACGACGAAGAAAUCCAGUCACAUCCAUCCGCAGGAUCUGGAUCUCCGAGUUCGCCGCGUUCUAAUCGCCGGAUAACCGUCACGGUGGCUACCGCUGCGCCUCCUCAGAAUACCUUGACGUUAGCGCUACCGAUACAGCAGCCGAGGACCGUCGGCGGCGGCGGUGGAGGUGGCGGUGGUGGUGGUGGAGGAGGAGGAGGUGGAGGAGGUCGGGAGGAUUGUUGGAGCGAAGGUGCAACCGCUGUAUUGAUUGACGCGUGGGGAGAGCGGUACCUGGAGCUGAGCAGGGGGAAUUUGAAGCAGAAGCACUGGAAAGAGGUUGCGGAUAUAGUUAGUAGUCGGGAGGAUUAUUUGAAGGCUCCGAAAACGGAUAUUCAGUGCAAGAAUCGGAUCGACACGGUGAAGAAGAAGUAUAAGCUUGAGAAGGCCAAAAUUGCGUCUGGCGGGGGGCCUAGUACGUGGAGUUUCUAUGAUCGGUUGGACCAGCUCAUCGGCCCUACGGCCACCGCGAAGAGCGGUUCAUCAUUGUUGACUACUCCGCCUUUAAGAGCUGUUCCGAUGGGGAUUCCGGUCGGUGUUAGAUCGGCACCUGUUCAAAGUCUGCGGCUAAAGCAGCAACAAGAGCGACAACAACAGCUACUUCAGCAGCAGCAGCAACAACAACAACAACUUCAACAGCAGCGUAAGCGUCUACGCCCCCCUCCUGCCUAUUCAGACUCAUCUGAAUCAGAACCAGAGGCGUCUCCAGAUUCGCCUGAAUCAGAUUCCUACGAGCAAAAACGCCCAAGAGUUCCACUUCCAUUCAAUGCAAACUCCAACUCCACCACGAGGCAGCAACAACAGGACAGAGGGCGAGGAGUAGGAGGGAGAGAGAAGAAUUGGGGAGAUUCCGUUAGAGAAUUGACCAGGGCGAUAAUGAAAUUUGGGGAAGCUUAUGAGCAGGCUGAGAGCUCCAAGUUGCAGCAGAUGGUGGAGAUGCAGAAGCAAAGCAUGAAAUUUGCAAAGGAGCUUGAAUUGCAAAGGAUGCAGUUCUUCAUGAAGACACAGUUAGAGCUGUCACAGCUGAAGCACAGUAGGAAAGGUGUUGGGAACAACACCACCAAUCAUCAUCAUAGUCAUAAUCAUAAUAACACUCAUAAUCAUCACAACAGUAGUAACCAUAAUACUAUAAACAGCAACAACAACAAUCAUAGUGAUGAUAGCAAUAACUAAAUUAAGGUAUGUAUUCAGAAUCAAUUGGCUUAUUAAUUAAAAGGGGUAAAUGUUAAUGUUGCCCCUCUAGUAGAGGUCAGGGGUGUUUAGGGAGAUGUAUGUAAUUGAAUUUGCUUGUUUUAAAUUUUCCCUUCUAUGUCAAAGAUUUGGAGGUAGGUACAUCAUUCAAUGC